RNAcentral lists this ribosomal RNA (276 nucleotides) under uncultured prokaryote. Its description in RNAcentral is "partial 16S ribosomal RNA". It matches the Rfam family "Bacterial small subunit ribosomal RNA", at positions 524 to 801 of the family's 1533-position model. The record is from RNAcentral.
UACGUAGGGGCUAGCGUUAUCCGGAAUUACUGGGCGUAAAGGGUGCGUAGGUGGUUUCUUAAGUCAGAGGUGAAAGGCUACGGCUCAACCGUAGUAAGCCUUUGAAACUGGGAAACUUGAGUGCAGGAGAGGAGAGUGGAAUUCCUAGUGUAGCGGUGAAAUGCCUAGAUAUUAGGAGGAACACCAGUUGCGAAGGCGGCUCUCUGGACUAUAACUGACACUGAGGCACGAAAGCGUGGGGAGCAAACAGGAUUAGAUACCCUGGUAGUCCCUGAG